AGUGAACGCUGGCGGUAGGCCUAACACAUGCAAGUCGAACGGCAGCACAGUAAGAGCUUGCUCUUACGGGUGGCGAGUGGCGGACGGGUGAGGAAUACAUCGGAAUCUACUUUUUCGUGGGGGAUAACGUAGGGAAACUUACGCUAAUACCGCAUACGACCUACGGGUGAAAGCAGGGGAUCUUCGGACCUUGCGCGAUUGAAUGAGCCGAUGUCGGAUUAGCUAGUUGGCGGGGUAAAGGCCCACCAAGGCGACGAUCUGUAGCUGGUCUGAGAGGAUGAUCAGCCACACUGGAACUGAGACACGGUCCAGACUCCGACGGGAGGCAGCAGUGGGGGAUAUUGGACAAUGGGCGCAAGCCUGAUCCAGCCAUACCGCGUGGGUGAAGAAGGCCUUCGGGUUGUAAAGCCCUUUUGUUGGGAAAGAAAAGCAGCAGGUUAAUACCCCGCUGUUCUGACGGUACCCAAAGAAUAAGCACCGGCUAACUUCGUG
Molecule: ribosomal RNA, 492 nt
Filed under: uncultured bacterium
Lineage: Bacteria
Description: partial 16S ribosomal RNA
Rfam family: Bacterial small subunit ribosomal RNA
Source: RNAcentral